This 442-nucleotide long non-coding RNA is filed under the name Medicago truncatula (barrel medic). RNAcentral's name for it is "long non-coding RNA (MTRU_LNC003900)". Lineage: Eukaryota; Viridiplantae; Streptophyta; Magnoliopsida; Fabales; Fabaceae. The record is from RNAcentral.
AAAAUUUUUGCUUCAUAAACAACAAUCACCCUCUGCAUUCUAUUCCCCAUAAUAUAUUAUUCAAAUCCAAAAUAUCAACAAUUACAACAAAUUCAAUGCAGCAAUUACACAAUUGCCAAACAUCUCUUCAUACUGUUUUUGUAAAAAUUCAUGGGAGCAAUUACGAAUAUGCGACGGAACUCCACAACAAACACAGCCUAAAUUAAAUUGGAGAACAAUCACAACAAACACACACUUCCAUAUCUUUUUUAGAUCUAGUUCUUCAUCAUGGCAAGCUGCUACAACUGAUAAACAAACCCCUGCCUACUGUUAAAAACGCAGCAGCAUAAAGCGCAUGUGCAGAAAAAAUAAGCGCAACAUACAGAGGGACAUACAAAGCCAAAACACCAAAAAUAAACAAAGCAAAAUACAUGCCCACCCUAAAUGCCGAACUGCAACAACA